Molecule: ribosomal RNA, 253 nt
Filed under: uncultured bacterium
Lineage: Bacteria
Description: partial 16S ribosomal RNA
Rfam family: Bacterial small subunit ribosomal RNA
Source: RNAcentral
UACGGGGGGUGCGAGCGUUGUCCGGAAUCACUGGGCGUAAAGGGCGCGUAGGUGGCCUGGUAAGUCUGUGGUGAAAGCCCGGAGCUCAACUCCGGGUCUGCCGCGGAUACUGCGAGGCUUGAGUGCUGUAGAGGGGGGUAGAAUGCCGGGUGUAGCGGUGGAAUGCGUAGAGAUGUGGAGGAAUACCGAUGGCGAAGGCAGCCCCCUGGGCCAAUACUGACGCUCAUGCACGAAAGCGUGGGGAGCAAACGGG